CUACGGGAUGCAGCAGUGGGGAAUAUUGGACAAUGGGGGAAACCCUGAUCCAGCAAUGCCGCGUGUGUGAAGAAGGCCUGCGGGUUGUAAAGCACUUUCGGUUGGGAGGACUGCUUCUAGCACUAAUAUUGUUGGAAGUUGACGUUACCUUCAGAAGAAGCACCGGCUAACUCCGUGCCAGCAGCCGCGGUAAUACGGAGGGUGCAGCGUUAAUCGGACUUACUGGGCGUAAAGCGCGCGUAGGCGGCUAGAUCAGUCGGGUGUGAAAGCCCCGGGCUUAACCUGGGAACUGCAUCCGAUACUGUCUAGCUUGAGUACAGGAGAGGAGAGUGGAAUUCCACAUGUAGCGGUGAAAUGCGUAGAUAUGUGGAGGAGCACCAAUGGCGAAGGCAGCUCUCUGGCCUGAUACUGACGCUGAGGUGCGAAAGCGUGGGGAGCAAACAGGAUUAGAUACCCUAGUAGUC
RNAcentral lists this ribosomal RNA (464 nucleotides) under uncultured bacterium. Its description in RNAcentral is "partial 16S ribosomal RNA". It matches the Rfam family "Bacterial small subunit ribosomal RNA", at positions 339 to 795 of the family's 1533-position model. The record is from RNAcentral.